RNAcentral lists this ribosomal RNA (321 nucleotides) under uncultured bacterium. RNAcentral's name for it is "bacterial SSU rRNA". It matches the Rfam family "Bacterial small subunit ribosomal RNA", at positions 28 to 334 of the family's 1533-position model. The record is from RNAcentral.
GAUGAACGCUAGCGACAGGCUUAACACAUGCAAGUCGAGGGGCAGCGGGGCGGCAGGCUUGCCUGCCGUUGCCGGCGACCGGCGCACGGGUGAGUAACACGUAUGCAACCUGCCCGUGGCAGGGGGAUAAGCGGGGGAAACCCCGUCUAAUACCGCGUAACGCGGCCUAGGGACAUCCCAAGGCCGCCAAAGGGAGCAAUCCCGGCCACGGAUGGGCAUGCGGCGCAUUAGCUAGUCGGCGGGGUAACGGCCCACCGAGGCGACGAUGCGUAGGGGUUCUGAGAGGAAGGCCCCCCACACUGGUACUGAGACACGGACCAG